UCUCUGUAAAUUAAAUGAUAUUGAAUUUCAUCUCAUGUCCUGGGGAAUCAUCCUUAACCAAAUAAAAUACAUGUAGGAGAGAAUUCUACGGAUCAGACACGUGGAUAGGUGGUAAAUGUACUGCGAUCAAGGGACACGAAUGGUUCUCUUUGUUUGUUUGUUUUAGGAUAAUGAUGAAAGUUGAUAAUAUUCUAUCAACAUCUUGUGUAUAUUGCAGACAAGUAGAAAAAAUGAAAAAAAAGAAUGAUAGUGUAAAUACCUACGAGUUGUGCCACUGUCGAAUAGGCAACAGUAGAAUAUUUGCUAUGGUAAUUUAUAAUGUAUAAUUCAAGUAAAAUAUUACAGCAAACAUUCGUGAUGUUUGUGUAUAUAACCAAAAUCCAAAAGCUUAUUGGUUUUUUAAAAAAAUGACAUGCUAGUAGAAGUUAAAUGAGUUAGUUAGGUUAAUGCAAUGUCUCUUUUUCUGUUUCCUACGUUUCCUCACCAACAUCACAUGGUUUUUAGAAUGUGAAUUCUAACCAUUUGAGCAGACAUGCAAGCAUAGUCAAUUGUAUUCUCUUCUAAAUUGGAAAUUUGCAAGUAAAGCUAUCUGAAACAUUUCCCUGACUUUGCUUAUAAAGCUUGAUAGUUUCGUGUGCUGAACAGUAACCAUGUCUUUUUUGUAACUCUGAGAUGCAUUUAAAUUGCACAGCUAAAAGACAAAAGAAAUUCUCGAUUUAAAAGAAGACCAGUUAAUAUCAUCAUCUUUAGAAUAUUCUCUGAAACUAAGAACAUUUUUUCUAUAUUGUGCUUUCUUACCAUCAUUCAUGUCAGUCUUGUUUCCAUUUAGAAAAUAACCUCAUUUCCAUAGUAAGGAAAAUAAGGAUGUUCUGUAUUUGUAUGGAAUGGAUUAUUGGGCAAAACUUAACAAUAAUGAAUUGCUAUGUAGAAAAUACAGAUACAGUGUACGAGUAUAUACCAUAAUUUCAGUAUUCAGUCAUCCUGUAUUUUGCUUUUGUGAUAUCCCUGAAAUAUUCGUAGGGGUUCAAAACAGCAACAGAAGUCCACUAAUAUAAUAUUACUGAGUCAACAUUGAGGUGAUAAUUUCCUUCCAUUAAAAGAUAUUCAAAAGAUCGUAGCCAUUCUGCCAUUGAGACGUAAUAAUGGAAAGUUCCAGCCUAAUUAAGGAUAUUUUUUUUUCUUUUAAUUCACGUUGCAGUUAAUAUGGGAAGAAUUGUAUCAUGCUGUAAUUUUUACUUAUAUGAAAAUGAUAAAAUUCUCAGUGCUGAAAAUGAGGUUUUUUUCAGUCAUAAUAAUAAUAAUUACCUAAUACAGCAGUAUAUGCAUGACCUAAUGUGUAUGAAAUUUGGAGCAGCUUACUAAAGAAGAUUGAAAUAGGUUUGAUUAGUCUAUGACAGUUGGGUUAUAGAGUGGAUGACUUUGUAUUUUGCAUAAAUUUGCAUUAUUUGAACUUUUCUCUCCGGUCUCCCACUAUGCAUUUUGCCAGGUAAAUAUAUUAACCUCAUUUUUGUUUUUUUUUUAUGUACUUACUAAUUGUUGUUCAACUUUAUUCCUUUCUUCGAAGAAAAAUCUAUUGCAGUGGAGCCAAAUAUAUAUAUUUUUAUCUAAACUCUGUAUGUAUUUAGAUGCAUAUGUAUGUCAUGCAGAAAUUCCAGGAUUAAAUUCUGUGAGUUACAGCAUCAGAUGGUAGCACUGGUAGCAAGUCUAAUGUUCCUUUUCAGAUAUCAUUCUUAAAGUCUUUAUAAUGAAAUUGGGCUCAGACUGUGACAUAAUCCAGAAAUGUAAGAUCCCCCAUGACAUACUUGUCACUUUGCCACUGAUUCUUUUCCAACUUGAAAGGAGGAACCUUAAAAGAAAAAAAACCUCAACAUUUUUAAUCCAUUACAAUUUUUACAAGGCUUUCUUAUGCAGUAGCUGCUGUAGUUAAGUGUGUGGUAACCCUUUGAAUUUGGGGGGGAGGUUUAGGCCAUUAAAUCCAAUUGGAUUUUAGGCUUCUAUGUUGUCAUAGAAAAACUCAAGCUGUAGAAAUGCAUCCAUUUUAAUUCUUUUUUUUAAUUUAUUCUUUUCCCCUAAUUAUGUUCAGUUUUGAUGUGAAAUAGUAAGAAAUCAGAUUUCUCAUUCUGAGGUAACUUUUGUACUGACUGAAACUGGUAGUGGAACUUCUGCUUCUGCAGAAGAGAUUUAGGACUCCUUUGAAUCAAAAUGGGAGUCCUGUUAGGCGCAAAUUUACCUGGGAAAGUCAAGAUAUCACAAACACGGAUGUCGCAAACAAGCUGGUGCCUGAGCCAAAUGCUGCUGAAAUCAAAGAGGUGUCUGCCAUUAGGUAGGAGCAAAGAAGAGCUGGUGCUGGUUUGAAAAGUCUUGAGAGGAUUAGCUGUGGGAAAGCCAACGUGGAAUGCUAGGCCCUGGCUGUUGGUGUUCUGAGGGCUGCUAGCUGGUGACUUGGUUCAGGCUUCCACACUGGGUCAGUACCAGUUCAACUGUGGUUAUUGUUGAGAAAUGGGACUACACCAGUGGGAAGGGCAGUGCAAGGCUUUCAGAUAAUUCCUCAUUCACACCAAAGCCCUUUGAUGUUCAUCUGGGCUUAGUGCAGGUCUGAUUUAGUGGCUGUUACGGUGCGUUAGUAAUAUGGAAUUACUUUUUAUGGCCAAUUCUAUUUAUUUCACUGUAGUUUAAUUGCAUAUGUGCAUAACAAUCAAGAACUAAUUGGAGUUAUGGUAAUUUAUAGUGUAGUAGUCAGGCUGUUUUCAAAGCCCUACUAAUCAGUAAUUGUGUGAAGUCGUAGGUUGUUUGGUUGGGCUCACUUCAGGUCACACCCUACUGUCACAGCAAGGAAGGAUUUCUUCGAAGCUCUUGCAGGCUUCUACAGGGGGAUUUCAUCUGUCAGGACCAUAGAUCUUGCCUGGUAACUAUUUUAAAGCAAAAAUAACUACCCUUAUAAUUUACUGGUUUUUAGAUCUCCCAAAAGUUACUUAUUGUAACUCAUUCAUUAGCUUUUAAAACAGCAAAAAUGUGUGAGGUUUCUAUUUCUAGAGCACUAGAUUCACUUUUUUUCUUUUGUGCUUCAGAACUGUAUCAUGAAGUACCCGACUUCCAUCUUGUUUAUUCAAAUGGAAAGAAAAUAAUAGAUGUUGCUGUAGUCUUUAGGUCAAAGGAACACAAAGAGACGGGCAAGUCCAUCUUAUUGCUGACUUCCAUUGGUCGCUUUUGAAUUUCCUGAUUUUUGUGACUCCUCUCUUUCACAAUGUUGAAAUGUAUUUAAAAAGGUUUGUCUGUAAUGUUUCUUGUCUGCUUUUUGUCUCUAGAGGAAAGCGUGCUCUAUUCACAUUUAUAUAAGCUGGAAUCGUACUUUACAAUCGCUGUCGAUUAUUUUUCCCCCAAAUGCAGAGGAAAAUGAACACGGCAAAAGCCAGUUUCUAGGGUUUGGUCUUCUGUAGAAGCUGAAAUAAGGAUAUGUGAAACUGACAUUUUCCUUAUGACAGACGGUAAAGAGAGCAUUAAUUUCUGAGCGAGCUUUUCUGGGGAGGAGGGGGAGAAACCCUAGAAUACGGAGUCUCAUCAGAACCCUUUUGUUAACGGGUAUUUUUGUUUUUUUUUUUCUCUCAAAUGAUUGAGUAAAUAUCAUGUAUGAAUUUAUAAAUAAUUGCUUUCAGCUAUUUCUUUUGUAUAAGCUGCCCAGUACCCUUGCUAUGCUGUAUAAGUUGUGUUUCAUGGAACAGUGUGAGUAUGAAAUAAAAGCUAAUUUUUGUUUUUUAAUCAUCUGUGGAUGCCACUAUGAAAGCUGACAUUGUUAAAGCCACUACAGAGUUUUCUAUGAAUACUUGUAAGAAUUGCUUUGUUAUAUAUAAACCUAAAUAAAGAGAUUGUAUUGAUACAGAGACAUUGGAUAAGAACGUUUAAAAGGCUAUUCUUUAGGUCUAAAAGAAAAGGCUUGCUGUAAAAUGGUGCAUUAUUCCAUUUAUUAAAGAUCAUAU
Molecule: long non-coding RNA, 3974 nt
Organism: Gallus gallus (chicken)
Lineage: Eukaryota; Metazoa; Chordata; Aves; Galliformes; Phasianidae
Source: Ensembl